Molecule: long non-coding RNA, 553 nt
Organism: Dermacentor andersoni
Lineage: Eukaryota; Metazoa; Arthropoda; Arachnida; Ixodida; Ixodidae
Source: RefSeq, a predicted model, not a curated record
AAGAAACAGCUGCUAAAUGGCGCAGCACAACUGUUUUCACGUUUGCUAACAGCAUUGUUCAGUGAUCAACACACUCAUACGCCCACUGGUUCCGAAGUAGAUAUUCGGAUAUGAAAGGCAGCAUUGCCGCUCUAUUUCUUUUCCUGGUUUCCGCAGUGGAGUCAAGAACCUGCCCGGUAGGCCAAGUGUACACAAUGUGUCCGCCGGACGGGAUUCUGCGAGAAAACAUGUGUCCUGGUUCAAUCAUCAAGUACUGUGUAAUAGAGAACCCCACCUGCCUAUGCCCACCUGGCACCUGGCGACUGCUGAACCAGCACUGCGGGCGAAGGGAGGAUUGUGAAAAGUGACGUUGACUAUGUCACCUUUGGCUCCUGCAGGUUUAAAAAGAAGGAAAUAAGAUACGUCACACUAAUGGAGGCUACGAGAAGAUCCGAUUUCUAUCCCGUUGUCUGCUGCACUGAGAUUUCAAGCUCAAUAAGUUGUAAAUACUUCUCAGCGAAUUAUAUACCAUGUGCAUACCAAUAUGACCGAAGAAUAAACGAGUCAUCGUAUG